RNAcentral lists this ribosomal RNA (594 nucleotides) under uncultured bacterium. RNAcentral's name for it is "bacterial SSU rRNA". It matches the Rfam family "Bacterial small subunit ribosomal RNA", at positions 28 to 671 of the family's 1533-position model. The record is from RNAcentral.
GAUGAACGCUAGCGGCGCACCUAAAACAUGCAAGUCGUACACUCGCAAGAGUGUGGCAAACGGGUGAGUAACGCGUAGGAAUCUGCCUCAAUCCGGGAAAUACCCUGCCGAAAGGUGGGCUAAUGUCCCAUGUGCUCGCAAGAGUAAAGCUCCGGCGGAUUGAGAGGAGCCUGCGUCCUAUCAGCUUGUUGGUGGGGUAAUUGCCUACCAAGGCUAUGACGGGUAGCUGGUCUUAGAGGAUGAUCAGCCACAAUGGCACUGAGAUACGGGCCAUACACCUACGGGUGGCAGCAGUUAGGAAUCGUACACAAUGGACGAAAGUCUGAUGUCGUGACGCCGCGUGAAGGAUGAAGGUUUUCGGAUCGUAAACUUCUUUUCUGUAGGAUGAUUAUGACAGUACUACAGGAAUAAGCACCGGCUAACUACGUGCCAGAAGCCUCGGUAAUACGUAGGGUGCGAGCGUUAUCCGGAAUUAUUGGGCGUAAAGAGCGCGUAGGCGGUCUAUCAAGUCCAGUCUUAAAGCCUGCAGCCUAACUGCAGAGAUGGACUAGAAACUGGUAGACUUGAGUAAUUGCAGGGGUGAGCGGAAUCUAC